AUCUCUUUGCCUUUUUGGCUUAGAUCAAGUGUAGUAUCUGUUCUUUUCAGUGUAACAACUGAAAUGACCUCAAUGAGGCUCAUUACCUUUUAAUUUGUUACAAUACACAUUUU
This is a non-coding RNA of Saccharomyces cerevisiae FostersO, 113 nucleotides long. Lineage: Eukaryota; Fungi; Ascomycota; Saccharomycetes; Saccharomycetales; Saccharomycetaceae. The record is from Rfam.